GUGCUAACCACUGAGCCUCUACAAAUUGAUUCUAACUUUCGUCAACGAGAAGAAUCCAGUUUUUGUUCUGGUGAAUAUCUGGAUGGCCCAGUUGCUCCACAGCCAGUUAGAUCUAUUUGAAGUAAAGUCACUGUUUUCUAUGUUAACAAAGUACAGAGCCAUUUCAUAAAGUGCAGGAUCCCACAAAGAAAUUUCAGGAGCGGAUGACAGGCUUGGAAUCCAGCAGUGAGUAACUCAUCACCUGUCCACCAUCUACAAAGCACGAGUGAGGAGUGUGAGAUAAUAUUCCCUACUUGACUGAAUGCUUCAACAACACUCAAGAUGCUUAACAACACCGAAGAUGCUUAACAACACCAUCUAGAGGGAUGAAGAGAGUAAAUACAUGGAAACAUCACCAACUAUUUCUGGAUUUUCCUGGGCCCCUGCUUGCCAGGGAAUUUUCUCCAUAACAAAGUGAGCAAUGUUUAGUCUGAUCUCUGGUGAUAAGAAUUCCAACCCAGCUCGGAAAAAUUCAAGCCAUAAUCCAGGCUAACACUUUGGGGCUACACUGCAUUGUCAGAUAUGAUUGCCUCUGAUUAAAAUGGUAAACCAAUUCUGUCAGUUUAAUUGAAUAUCAAACAUGCCGCACAGUAUUCAAAAGAGCACUAGGAGAUUCAUCCAUGGACCAAAGUAAAUCAACUGGUCAUUUAUUUAACUUGCUAUUUAGGGACUGUCUUACACAAGCACAAGCUGCCACAUUAACUUAUAUGACAAACAUCGCUGCUCUUCAAAGAUUGUCUCUUGACAGUGAAGUGUUUCCAGGACAUAAAAGGUGCUAAAUAAGAGCAAGCCCUUUCAUUUCUGCUUCAGAUGUUUGACUAAAAAAAAUCAGUUAUCUCCAUUGUUAAUGAUUCAGCAAACAUACUGGGUACGUGGCAAGCAUUUAAAACAGUGCGAUGAUUUAAAUUAAAUAAAGAACACUAACAAGUUACUUCUAUUUGUGUGGCAAUGCUGCCGGGCCCCACCAAAGCACACAGACACAUAUAUCCACACCUAUUUACAGAACCACACUAUCCUUUUAGAAAAAGUGUUAAACUCAGUCAAAAAUGCAAAUCAUUUAGUCAAAAGUAUUGUGAUGGUGUUAUGCUGUACCUAGUACGUACACAUACUAAAAAGCUUAAACGAAUUCACUUAAUUCCAGCCUGCGCUUGGAAAGAGAUUAUAAAAAUCCCCACUGUAAAACUACAAGGUUGUGAAUUUGAAUGAUCUAUUUCAUUACUAGAAUUAAUCUGUUUCAAUAGCUCAGGCUUUGCAUGAUUCAACUGCUUUAGAGAAAGACUAUCUUUCAGCAAUUACGAUGUGAAGAUCACAAGACAGCCUGUAGACAGUGCAAAGAUUAUGUUCCAAACUUAGCUAAGGGCUUGAACUAUGUCACAAGUUUUGCCACGCAACUAGCUAAGAAAACAGAAAACGCUGGAAACAUUCAGUAGGUUAGGCAGCAUCUGUUAAAAGAUCACAGUAGGGUUAACGCUUAAGGAUGAUUUUUUUUCCCAAAAGCUAUUUUAGGCUCAAGAAUAUUGAUUUUCUUUAAAUCAUCCACUUGUAGGGAAAGAGGAAAGGCUGUGUCAUGUCCCUAUGAUAAUACAAUACCACUGAUGAGAAGGAGCAAGAAGGUCUAUUUAUUUCCUUUGGUCUGGAGACAGGGAUAGCAAGGGGACAUGGGUUGGAGGGAAACAUGGCCAAGGCCCACACUGAGCCCCUAAUAUUUGGCUAACCAAUACCAAAAUGCUAGCAAUCGUAGAUUCCUUACUUACCCACCUCAGUGAAGAACAGCAAGCAGACUUAAUGCAACUGCUGUCAAGACCUUAUGGGGAGACAAAUUAGGCUGCAUAACUCUAUGAGCUCGAACUCUAACUCUAAGUGAUGUGAAAAUGAUCCCUCCCAGAAGGCAACCUCCCUAGGCCCAGAAAAGCUGGCCCACGCUCAGGAACAGAUUAACUACACGCAAGAGCAAAACAAAUAAAGCCCAGCAGCUGUAGUAAGAGCACUGAAGUUAUGCUCAUGCCCAAUCCAGUAGUUCCAUAAUGCUCUGUAUUCAUCAUAAAAAAAUGACUGGAAGCCAACUCCUACCCAAUGCCCUUGCUUGUAGAUUGCAUAGACAGGGGGAGUAAAACAGCUUACAUUACGAAGAUAGAGUUUCUCAAUGGAUAUGUUAGGUUAUCUUAACUGCUCGUGUGAAGGAAAUCUCUGCCUUUGUCACUCUAGACGGAUUAUGCCAGUAUCAAGUUAUGGCAUUUGGACUCUGAAAUGCUCCAGACAGGUUUUAAAGGCAGUUGAACCAAACAGUGGAAGGCUUACUUAGUUGUAUAGUGUACCAUGAUGACCUCCCACGUACAGUGACAUCUGGGAAAGGCACUGAGAGCAAUUGGAAGUCGUCUUCAUAAAAGACAGUCACCUGACCCAGCGGUUAAUCUCACACAGAAUAGGUUUUCCUUGGCCUAUGUGACCUAUCUCAAAUAUAAUAACAGAUCAAGCAUGAGUACUGGCCAGAGCUGCAAAGUAUCAGCACAGUUCUCCAUGUUCACAGAACAAAACAGGAAAUCAUGAGCUUCUUUGGAAUGUGUGGUUCUCUCGAACAUCAGUCUCAAGUUUCACCACGUAACUGUGCCGUUGACAAACCUACAACAAAAAAAAAGACAAUACCAGCUGAGAAAUGUCAAGCAGCAUUUUGAAAAGCUGGAAGUCUUUUCAAUAAGCAAGCCUAUACUUGCG
Chiloscyllium plagiosum (whitespotted bambooshark) is the source of this 2751-nucleotide non-coding RNA. The record is from RefSeq and is a predicted model, not a curated record. NCBI's taxonomy places the organism in Eukaryota, Metazoa, Chordata, Chondrichthyes, Orectolobiformes, Hemiscylliidae.